RNAcentral lists this small RNA (29 nucleotides) under Bombyx mori (domestic silkworm). RNAcentral's name for it is "ovarian small RNA-12092". Lineage: Eukaryota; Metazoa; Arthropoda; Insecta; Lepidoptera; Bombycidae. The record is from RNAcentral.
AGCCUCAAGAUUGGCAGCAUCAGCCUGGA